AUGGAAGUUGGCCUCUCCAUAUGGAUGGUGAUCUUUCUGAAUGGGUCUUGGUCUUUCUGGAUAGGUGUUGGUCCUUCUGAAUGGGUCUUGGUCUUUCUGGAUGGAAGUAAGCCUCUCCAGAUGGAUGUUCAUCUUUCCAAUGGACAUUGGCCUUUCUGGAUGGAAGUAAGCCUCUCCAGAUGGAUGUUGAGCUUUCUGGAUGGGCAUUGGUCUUUCUGGAUGAACUUUGGUCACUCUGAGUGGGCAUUGGGCUUUUCAUACGGACAUCGGGCUAUCUGAAUGGAUGCUAGUCUCAUCGGAAACAUGCAUCAGGUGCUCCUGUUGUACUCCAGCACUGGAUUCCGGGUGUGCAUAGGGGAAUAACCUGAUGCACACUGGUGUUCAUCACUUACUCCUCCAUUUCACAGUGGAUGUGAUGUCAUAGCAGCCCCUAAGUGGACACUGACAUUGCAGAAGUGCUCAGUUCUAUUUCCCAUACACAUAAUUCCACUUAGGAAGAUGUACGUCUCAUAUUGAAUUCUGGCGGACACCUUUAAGAUAAUGUAUCUGUGUUUGCCCUAAAAUAUUGUAAGUCUGGGGGGAGUGGGGGGGGGGGAGGAAGAGAAGGAAUGCAAGUGAAAGAUGAAAGUAUGUUAAUUAAUUAAUUAAUAAUAGUAAAAGAGCUAACACAGAAGGGAAAGUGAUUUAAUAAAUCUGUGGCUGUUACUGAAACAUUGUUGAAUCCAAACAGAGGAACUAAUGCAAUAGACUUGCAAAUGGAAGCUUGAAAGCAUUUUUUAAUUAUUCUUGGCUAUUCUUUCAACUUUCUUUUCAAAUAUUAAAUUUUGACUUCUGUUUCUUGCAUGAUUAAUCCUAAUACUGAUUAAUUUGGAAAGAAACCUCUUAUGUCGGUACUACUCCCACAUAUUCCUCCUGGAGGGAUAAUGUGUUCCAGUAACAAAUAUUAAGUGGUCAUGUUGCAGUGACUUUUCUAUAGCAUAGAAGAUAGAGAGAAAGGAGGAGGGAGGUGAAUUAAUUUAUUACAACCCCAGAAUAUUGCUGUAGGGGUUGUAUUGGCAGCAUUGGUUUCUUUUAAAGGAUUGUAGUAGUUGUAACUUCUUUUACAGGGACUGAUGAUAUAGAUUGAGUACCCCUUAUCUGAAAUGUUUGGGACCAGAGGUGUUUUGGAUUGUGGAUAUUUUUGGAUUAUGGAAUACCUGUGUUUGUGUAUACAUACAUAAUGAAAUAUAUUGCCAUUGGGAACUUAGUGUUAACACAAAAUCCAUUUCUGUUUCAUAAACAAGUUAUACACAUAGCCUACAGGUAAUUUUAUACACAAUAUUUUUCAUAGUUUUGUCCAUGAAACAAAGUGUGCACCCAUUCAACUACCAGAGAGCAAAGGUGCCAUUAUCUCAGCCAUCCAUGUGGACAAUUUUAAAUUUUGGAGUAUUCUAGAGUUCCCGAUAAAAGAUUAUCAACCUUUUUUUGCACUCCAUCAAUGUGCUCAGAAAGAUAAUUUCUAUAGUAUUUGUAUAGAACACAAAUCAAAUUUUUAUUCAAGAAACACUAGUUAAAAUGAUUGUUGUUGUUGUUGGUAUAUUAAUGUAUAUGCCUCUUUUUCUCUUUUAAAAGACACUAAAAACAGGUAACAGUAGUUUCUAUAAACAGAGAUAAAGUAUGUCUUCCAUGUCAUAUUAAAAACCAAAACCUUAUUAAAUAAAAGAGUCAUUAUCUGCUAAUAGCAAGACAGCAAGAACAGGGUCAAGCAGACCUCUCAUGAAAGGGAGUUCAACAGUUUGGGAGCAACCACAGAGAAGACUCUCCAUGACAUUUUAUUAUUU
Molecule: long non-coding RNA, 1820 nt
Organism: Anolis carolinensis (green anole)
Lineage: Eukaryota; Metazoa; Chordata; Lepidosauria; Squamata; Anolidae
Source: Ensembl